Molecule: ribosomal RNA, 468 nt
Filed under: uncultured bacterium
Lineage: Bacteria
Description: partial 16S ribosomal RNA
Rfam family: Bacterial small subunit ribosomal RNA
Source: RNAcentral
GACGAACGCUGGCGGCGUGCUUAACACAUGCAAGUCGAACGGAAAGGCCCUGCUUUUGUGGGGUGCUCGAGUGGCGAACGGGUGAGUAACACGUGAGUAACCUGCCCUUGACUUUGGGAUAACUUCAGGAAACUGGGGCUAAUACCGGAUAGGAGCUCCUGCUGCAUGGUGGGGGUUGGAAAGUUUCGGCGGUUGGGGAUGGACUCGCGGCUUAUCAGCUUGUUGGUGGGGUAGUGGCUUACCAAGGCUUUGACGGGUAGCCGGCCUGAGAGGGUGACCGGCCACAUUGGGACUGCGAUACGGCCCAGACUCCUACGGGAGGCAGCAGUGGGGAGUAUUGCUCAGUGGGCGGAAGCCUGAUGCAGCAACGCCGCGUGCGGGAUGACGGCCUUCGGGUUGUAAACCGCUUUCGCCUGUGACGAAGCGUGAGUGACGGUAAUGGGUAAAGAAGCACCGGCUAACUACGUG